This 530-nucleotide ribosomal RNA is filed under the name uncultured bacterium. RNAcentral's name for it is "bacterial SSU rRNA". It matches the Rfam family "Bacterial small subunit ribosomal RNA", at positions 505 to 1035 of the family's 1533-position model. The record is from RNAcentral.
GUGCCAGCCGCCGCGGUAAUACAGAGGGUGCGAGCGUAAUCGGAUUUACUGGGCGUAAAGCGUGCGUAGGCGGCUGAUUAAGUCGGAUGUGAAAUCCCUGAGCUUAACUUAGGAAUUGCAUUCGAUACUGGUCAGCUAGAGUAUGGGAGAGGAUGGUAGAAUUCCAGGUGUAGCGGUGAAAUGCGUAGAGAUCUGGAGGAAUACCGAUGGCGAAAGCAGCCAUCUGGCCUAAUACUGACGCUGAGGUACGAAAGCAUGGGGAGCAAACAGGAUUAGAUACCCUGGUAGUCCAUGCCGUAAACGAUGUCUACUAGCCGUUGGGGUCUUUGAGACUUUAGUGGCGCAGCUAACGCGAUAAGUAGACCGCCUGGGGAGUACGGUCGCAAGACUAAAACUCAAAUGAAUUGACGGGGGCCCGCACAAGCGGUGGAGCAUGUGGUUUAAUUCGAUGCAACGCGAAGAACCUUACCUGGCCUUGACAUAGUAGAAACUUUCCAGAGAUGGAUUGGUGCCUUCGGGAAUCUACAUAC